RNAcentral lists this ribosomal RNA (656 nucleotides) under Salmonella enterica. RNAcentral's name for it is "bacterial SSU rRNA". It matches the Rfam family "Bacterial small subunit ribosomal RNA", at positions 1 to 649 of the family's 1533-position model. Lineage: Bacteria; Pseudomonadati; Pseudomonadota; Gammaproteobacteria; Enterobacterales; Enterobacteriaceae. The record is from RNAcentral.
AAAUUGAAGAGUUUGAUCAUGGCUCAGAUUGAACGCUGGCGGCAGGCCUAACACAUGCAAGUCGAACGGUAGCACAGAGAGCUUGCUCUCGGGUGACGAGUGGCGGACGGGUGAGUAAUGUCUGGGAAACUGCCCGAUGGAGGGGGAUAACUACUGGAAACGGUAGCUAAUACCGCAUAACGUCGCAAGACCAAAGUGGGGGACCUUCGGGCCUCACACCAUCGGAUGUGCCCAGAUGGGAUUAGCUAGUAGGUGGGGUACGGCUCACCUAGGCGACGAUCCCUAGCUGGUCUGAGAGGAUGACCAGCCACACUGGAACUGAGACACGGUCCAGACUCCUACGGGAGGCAGCAGUGGGGAAUAUUGCACAAUGGGCGCAAGCCUGAUGCAGCCAUGCCGCGUGUAUGAAGAAGGCCUUCGGGUUGUAAAGUACUUUCAGCGAGGAGGAAGGCGUUGUGGUUAAUAACCACAGCGAUUGACGUUACUCGCAGAAGAAGCACCGGCUAACUCCGUGCCAGCAGCCGCGGUAAUACGGAGGGUGCAAGCGUUAAUCGGAAUUACUGGGCGUAAAGCGCACGCAGGCGGUUUGUUAAGUCAGAUGUGAAAUCCCCGGGCUCAACCUGGGAACUGCAUUUGAAACUGGCAAGCUUGAGUCU